CUUACACUCCAGAAUAUUCUCUCUGGUGAGCUCUGCACUGCGGUGCUCUGUGCGUGCACAAAGUCGGACGGCUCACACUGGAGGACAAACACACACUUGGGAUGCCCAGCUCGGUGCACCUACAAAUCGCAGUGACACAGAGAUGUCCUGGAUGCCUUCUGAGAUCACAUCAUCCCGGGGUCUGUCAGCUCCAGCACACAUCCCCCGAGCUUCGCUGCUGCUGCUGGCUGCUCUGUUGCUGGUUGACAGAUUGCCAAGCAGGGCUGCAUGAUGCAAACUUCUCCUAAAGAUACCACUCUGACCUACAGAAUCGUCCUGGUUGGAAAAGACCUUCAAGAUCACCAAGUCCAACCGCCAACCAACUGUGGGUAUGCAUGGAGUCUACUCUUUGAAGGAAGCUCCCUCUCCAGAAACAAGCAUUCCCUGUGUAAUCUCGCUGCUCGCAUGUCUCCAGGAUCGCUUCCAAUUACUCAAACGAGCAACAUGCACUCUGAAGAAGCUAAUGGUGUAUUUACGCUGUAACACAAGCUAGUAAAUAUUUCCCAUUUAUUAAUUGUGAUUUACAUAACAGCGCACAAUGGCAGCUGUUAAGUAAAUAAAAUAAUUUUCUCAAGAUCUCUAA
Centrocercus urophasianus (Greater sage-grouse) is the source of this 622-nucleotide long non-coding RNA. RefSeq lists it as uncharacterized. The record is from RefSeq and is a predicted model, not a curated record. NCBI's taxonomy places the organism in Eukaryota, Metazoa, Chordata, Aves, Galliformes, Phasianidae. The transcript has 2 exons.